CACCAUGACUCUCAUCACCAUCCUCAUCUGGACGCUGGCCUGCUGCUGCCUCAGAGGAUCUAGUGGUCAAGUCACUGUGACUCAACCUGCUGUAGUCACAUCUUCUCUUGGAUCCACAGUCACUCUGAGCUGUAAAACCAACCCAAAAGUUUAUGUUUGGUCAGAUGGAGGUAGUAGAGUACACUGGUAUCAGCAGAAAUCUGGACAGAGUCCUAAACUGUUCAUCUACAAUGGUAAACACAUACAAUCCAACAGUGGAGUUCCAGCUCGAUUCAGUGGACGAGGAGACGGAGUAAACGCUGUGAUGACCAUCAGUGGAGUUCAGACUGAAGAUGCAGCAGUUUAUUACUGUCAGAGUGCACAUGAAAUAAACAGUGCUUGGGUGUGGACUUUUGGUGGAGGAACCAAACUCAUCAUUGACUCCGGCUCCAGGGUCAGGCCCUCGGUCUCUCUGCUUCCCCCCUCCUCCGAGCAGCUCUCCGGGGGCUCGGCCACGCUGGCCUGCCUGCUGAGCGGCUACUCUCCUCCGGGAGCCGUGGUGAGCUGGGAGGUGGACGGCGCGGAGGUGACGGAGGGGGUCCUGACCAGCUCAGAGGAGGAGAAGAGCGGACGCUACAGCAGCAGCAGCACCCUGAGCCUGAGCCAGGAGCGCUGGAUGGAAGGAGAGCUGUACUCCUGCAAGGUCCUCCAUCACGACCACAGCCAGACCCAGUCCCUCCACAGGAGCCAGUGUGAGGCCUAGAGGGGCUGGCUGAAGCCCAGGACGGGAGCUGUGUGUGGGGGGAGCAGGAGGAACACACCUGCUGCUCUCAGCAAUAUGACUUUUAAUGUUUGUAGAGGAAACUAAAGCUUUGUGUGACAGAGAACAGCACUGCUGUAAAGUGUUGGACAGCAACAACUUAGAGAGUAAUGUGUGUAGCUCAGCAGCGAGAUGUGAGUGUGCUUCAUAACUGUCAUGUUGAUGGUUGAUGUUUGUGCUAAUAAAGCUUGAAGUGAUCAAUAACUUGA
Chelmon rostratus (copperband butterflyfish) is the source of this 1008-nucleotide non-coding RNA. The record is from the annotation of a RefSeq genome assembly. NCBI's taxonomy places the organism in Eukaryota, Metazoa, Chordata, Actinopteri, Chaetodontiformes, Chaetodontidae.